CUUCAUUUUAUUUAUUAUUAUUAUUAUUAUUUUUUUUUUUUGAUCCCUAAACUUACGAAAAUUAUAGGUUUUAGUCCUCUACUUAUUUACUUACUUUUUGUACUUUAGUCCAUAAACUUUGGUCUGUAAACUUCAAUUAUGGUAGAAUUUGUCCCGAAAUGUUGAUACUUUUGAGCUUUUAAGUUCGAAUGCUUUUCAAAGCAAUGAACAUUUAUAAGAUUAUCUUAUGCUCUCAAAUUUUGUUGUAGAGAUGCUGCUGGCCUUCCAUUAGCUCUUGAAGUAUUAGGUUCCUUACUAUGUGGCAGGAGAAAAUACGAAUGGCAAAGUCCAAUACAGAAUUUAGAGAAGAAACGAAGUUAUAUGAAAUGCUUUACAGGAAUGAUGGAAGUCAUUUUCUUGGAUAUUGCAUUUUUUCUUUGGGGGAGAGGACAGAGAUUUUGUCAUCAAAAUACUCGGGAGUAGUAAUAUUUGCCCAGUCACUAAAACUGGAGUUCUCACUGAUAUGUCUCUUCGUAAAGACAGAGUUUAACAAAACUGAAAGUUGGUAAAUGCAGUAGCUUAUGGAUGUUUUUCAUGUAUACUCGGAAAACACAGUAAGAAUCAUCUAUAACUUCUACUUAUCAUACGAAAUAAAACUUUGUAUCCUUUAGUACUACCUAAUAUAUCAAGUGCUUUCUUCCUGAACAAUUAGGCAACCAAUUUGAAUGAAGGCAUUUUGCUGAGAUUGCCUGCACAGAAAACUCCGUCCUCUGAACAUGAAAAGGCUUUGUCUGCUUGUAUUUGGUAAUACAGUCCUUUCUACAGCCAUUAAAUAUCUCCUUGACGAGUUGAAGGUUUAUUAAUUUAUCUGGAUACCGGUUUCCUAACAAUUCCCUUCAAUUCGGGUCCAAAACAACUCUUCAUACUUACUCAACAUUCCUCAUAGCCAUAUCCAUCAACUGUUGGAAGAAUUCAAGAGAUGAAUCUCAUCUGAGCUAAAGAAUUGUUGAAGCUGUGUUGAGCAAAGUAAAUCAUACACUUCUACAUGUUGCCAGCCAAAUAUCCAGUUGGAAUUGAGACUGCUUACGGGAAUUGGAAACCCUAACAGAUGUUGGAACUGGGAAGAAUGAUGUGAAACUCUAGGGAUCUAUGGAAUUGGUGACACAGGCAAGACAAUAAUUGGCAAAGCUUUAUUCAAUAAAUUUGCUGAAGAAUUUGAAGGUUCCAACUUCCUUGCAGCAUGUUAGUUUUGUUCAACUACAAGACGCUUUUUGACAUGAUUGGGAAUAACAUUUUGAAAGUUGGCAAUAUUCAUAGAGGUGUCAAUACCAUAACGGUAAGACUACGAUACAAGGAGAGUACUUGUAGUUCUUGAUGAUGUUGAUGAACUAGAUCAGCUGGAGACAUCAGUAGGAAGGCAUGAGUGGUUUGGCUUAGUAAGUAGAAUCAUCAUAACUGGUAGAAAUAAACACUUUGCUAACCACUCAUGGAGCUAAUGUGAUAUAGGCAGGGGUAUUGGAUCAUUUGAGAGCGGUUCAACUCUUUAGUUGGAAUGCUUUUAAGAGGGAGAUACCAGCAGAAGAUUAUCUUAUGCUUUCAGAUCAUAUUGUUUAACAUGCUUGUGGCCUUCCUUUAGCUCUUGAAGUAUUGGGCACCUUCCUAUGUGGUAGAACAGAACAUCAAUGGCAAAGUGCAAUACACAAUCUGAAAAAGAAACCCAACAAGAAGUUAUACCAGAUACUUAGAAUAAGUUUAUGAUGCUUUGCAGGAUGAUUAGAAAGUUCUUUUCCUUGA
Ziziphus jujuba (common jujube) is the source of this 1773-nucleotide long non-coding RNA. RefSeq lists it as uncharacterized. The transcript is spliced from 2 exons. The record is from RefSeq and is a predicted model, not a curated record. NCBI's taxonomy places the organism in Eukaryota, Viridiplantae, Streptophyta, Magnoliopsida, Rosales, Rhamnaceae.